Molecule: long non-coding RNA, 1541 nt
Organism: Malus domestica (apple)
Lineage: Eukaryota; Viridiplantae; Streptophyta; Magnoliopsida; Rosales; Rosaceae
Source: RefSeq, a predicted model, not a curated record
GAACACAUGAUGAAAGUUUUCUUUUUCAUGGCAUCUUCUGCUUUGGUGGUCGACAAAAGCAAAAGUAUAAUCCUUUCCUUUCUCUUUUUAAUCCUUGCUUUUGCUUUUGUUUCCCGCAGCUCACUUGAUUGCUUUUGCCUUUCCUCUACAUCUUUGUUGCUUUUGUUUUUGUUUUCCAUGUGCCCUCGCAUAGCAAAGUCUCGUGAACGCAAAAUCUCUCCCUUUACAUGGUGCUUUGCCAGGGCCAGAAAGUUUGAACCAUGUGUGCAUCAUUCAUGAGAAGGCAUCGGCAGCGGUUGAUGCCCACCUGGAUGCAUGGUCUUGCUGAUGCAUGGUCCGAUGUUCAUAGAAAAAAUUCAGUCUCUAAUGCAAACCUCUAUCAGGACAUGGUAGCUCCUCACCGAUUGGCACACAUGAAACAGGAAACCCAAUCAUUUUGAUUUAGCUGAACUGCUUGCGCGACAACAAAUUCGACAACAGCAGCAUCAACAGCGGAAUAUUUUGGCUAGUUUUGGACAUUUGAAUGAUGCAGCAUUAGAGCAUUUGCCAAGUCAGAAUCUUAUCCACCGACAGUUAGCCAACCAUUCUUCAGCAGAUCUGGAUCACCUUUUGGCACUUCAGAUGCAACAGCAUUGGGAGGCUCAGCUCCAGCACCACACAACUUCAGCGUCGAGGGCCGUCUCGUCCACACCCACAGGUGCAUCCUGGCAGCCUGGAGCCUCUUUUUCUGGAAAUUCUUUUGUGGGCCGGAGCCACCGUCGGGUCUGGAUCUCUCGGCGUUGGUGACUAUGGUGUGCUUUCCGAUUAAUUUGCCAUCUCAGACGACGGCAACAGGGAGUCGAGAAUUGCACUGCAGCGGCUCCAACUCCAGAAAAUCUGAGAGGGAGCGACCGAGACUACUGGGCAUUUCAGGUUCAAACUCCACGGGCAAAACCAAGAACCUGCAAAAUCUGAGAAACCCGGCUUCCAGGUAGUCUUGAAAUCGGGGGAUUUAGUGGCUUUCAGGAGAUGUAGCGGCGGAGCAUGGCGGAGGAAGGAAGAAUGGAUGGAUUUGGUGGUGGGUCAGAGUUAAGGGGAGCUCCAGAGAUCGCAGAAAUGGAGAUCAAAGCCGUCGUGAUUUUCUGAUGAAGAGGUUUUUUGUUUUUGGCAGUUUAGGAUUGGGCUUGUGGGCCUGGGCAUGAUGACGAGCUCGUGUUGAUUCACUGUUUUGCAGAUUGUGGGCCUGGGCAUGAUGACGAGCUCGUGUGUUGAUUCACUGACCCCCUGAAACAUUCCGGCCUGUGGACACACAUCAUGCGAUGGAAGUUCGCCUUGGGCUGUCGAAGGGUCCAGUCGCCCCAAGCUUUAUGUGAUCCUCUUACUUUCUUGCCGAAAGAAGAGGAUUAGUAUCUUUGCUGUGGAUUUAUACUUUUAUGUUAAUGUUGUUCUUAAAUUGUGAUUGUCUGUCGCGCUGAGUUGAAAGGUCCAGACAUUGAUAUUGUGGAGUUACAUUUACUUUGGAGUAGUAUUGGGUUAUCUUCUAUCCAAUUACAGUUCCCCUA